Molecule: non-coding RNA, 72 nt
Organism: Ameiurus melas (black bullhead)
Lineage: Eukaryota; Metazoa; Chordata; Actinopteri; Siluriformes; Ictaluridae
Source: the annotation of a GenBank genome assembly
GGCUUAGUGGUUAGCGGUUAGCACGUUUGCCUCACACCUCCAGGCUCCGGGGUUCGAUUCCCGCCGGGGCCA